This 496-nucleotide ribosomal RNA is filed under the name uncultured bacterium. RNAcentral describes it as "partial 16S ribosomal RNA". It matches the Rfam family "Bacterial small subunit ribosomal RNA", at positions 28 to 506 of the family's 1533-position model. The record is from RNAcentral.
GAUGAACGCUGGCGGCGUGCCUAAUACAUGCAAGUCGAGCGAACAGACGAGGAGCUUGCUCCUCUGACGUUAGCGGCGGACGGGUGAGUAACACGUGGAUAACCUACCUAUAAGACUGGGAUAACUUCGGGAAACCGGAGCUAAUACCGGAUAAUAUAUUGAACCCCAUGGUUCAAUAGUGAAAGACGGUUUUGCUGUCACUUAUAGAUGGAUCCGCGCCGCAUUAGCUAGUUGGUAAGGUAACGGCUUACCAAGGCAACGAUGCGUAGCCGACCUGAGAGGGGGAUCGGCCAAACUGGAACUGAGACCCGGUCCAGGCUCCUACGGGAGGCAGCAGUAGGGAAUCUUCCGAAAAGGGCGAAAGCCUGACGGGGCAACGCCGGGGGGGGGAUGAAGGUCUUCGGAUCGUAAAACUCUUUUAUUAGGGAAAAAAAAAUGUGUAAGUAACUAUGCACGUUUUGACGGUACCUAAACAAAAAGCCACGGCUAACUACGU